Molecule: non-coding RNA, 113 nt
Organism: Ornithorhynchus anatinus (platypus)
Lineage: Eukaryota; Metazoa; Chordata; Mammalia; Monotremata; Ornithorhynchidae
Source: RefSeq, marked provisional
CGCAGCCAUCGUUGCCUAGCCCCAGCCGAACUGGCCUUUCCUGGGCCGAACUCCAAGUGAUGGUCCUGAAGGGCUAAUUCCGCUGGGGCCGGGGACAGUUCCUUGGACUGACG